RNAcentral lists this ribosomal RNA (256 nucleotides) under uncultured bacterium. RNAcentral describes it as "partial 16S ribosomal RNA". It matches the Rfam family "Bacterial small subunit ribosomal RNA", at positions 524 to 776 of the family's 1533-position model. The record is from RNAcentral.
UACGUAGGGUGCAAGCGUUGUCCGGAAUUAUUGGGCGUAAAGAGCUCGUAGGCGGUUUUGUCGCGUCUGCCGUGAAAGUCCGGGGCUCAACUCCGGAUCUGCGGUGGGUACGGGGCAGACUAGAGUGAUGUAGGGGAGACUGGAAUUCCUGGUGUAGCGGUGAAAUGCGCAGAUAUCAGGAGGAACACCGGUGGCGAAGGCGGGUCUCUGGGCCGUAACUGACGCUGAGGAGCGAAAGCGUGGGGGAGCGAACAGG